This 200-nucleotide unclassified non-coding RNA is filed under the name soil metagenome. RNAcentral describes it as "partial contains internal transcribed spacer 2 and large subunit ribosomal RNA". The record is from RNAcentral.
CCUACGGUUGGCUCCUCUUAAAUGAAUCAGCUUGCCAGUGUUUGGUGGCGUCACAGGUGUGAUAAAUAUCUACGCUUGUGGUUUUCCGCCAGGUAACCUUCAGCAAUGGAGGUUCGCUGGGGCUCACAAAUGUCUCUCCUCAGCGAGGACAGCUUUUAACGUUUGAUCUCAAAUCAGGUAGGACUACCCGCUGAACUUAA